This 492-nucleotide ribosomal RNA is filed under the name uncultured bacterium. RNAcentral's name for it is "partial 16S ribosomal RNA". It matches the Rfam family "Bacterial small subunit ribosomal RNA", at positions 28 to 507 of the family's 1533-position model. The record is from RNAcentral.
GAUGAACGCUAGCUACAGGCUUAACACAUGCAAGUCGAGGGGAAACGACAUCGAAAGCUUGCUUUUGAUGGGCGUCGACCGGCGCACGGGUGAGUAACGCGUAUCCAACCUGCCCAUCACUUGGGAAUAACCUUGCGAAAGUAAGACUAAUACCCAAUGACAUCCCACGAAGACAUCUGAAUGGGAUUAAAGAUUUAUCGGUGAUGGAUGGGGAUGCGUCUGAUUAGCUUGUUGGCGGGGUAACGGCCCACCAAGGCAACGAUCAGUAGGGGUUCUGAGAGGAAGGUCCCCCACAUUGGAACUGAGACACGGUCCAAACUCCUACGGGAGGCAGCAGUGAGGAAUAUUGGUCAAUGGGCGAGAGCCUGAACCAGCCAAGUAGCGUGCAGGAUGACGGCCCUAUGGGUUGUAAACUGCUUUUAUAAGGGAAUAAAGUGGGUCUCGUGAGACUUUUUGCACGUACCUUAUGAAUAAGGACCGGCUAAUUCCGUG